GCCCGGGUGGCGCAACUGGUAGACGCGCCAGGUCGAGAUCCUGGUGGUUGUGGGUUCGAGUCCCACCCCGGGCACCA
This 77-nucleotide transfer RNA is filed under the name Lysobacterales bacterium. RNAcentral's name for it is "tRNA-Leu". It matches the Rfam family "tRNA". Rfam says of the family: Transfer RNA (tRNA) molecules are approximately 80 nucleotides in length. Their secondary structure includes four short double-helical elements and three loops (D, anti-codon, and T loops). The record is from RNAcentral. Lineage: Bacteria; Pseudomonadati; Pseudomonadota; Gammaproteobacteria; Lysobacterales.